Molecule: ribosomal RNA, 482 nt
Filed under: uncultured bacterium
Lineage: Bacteria
Description: partial 16S ribosomal RNA
Rfam family: Bacterial small subunit ribosomal RNA
Source: RNAcentral
AUUGAACGCUGGCGGCAUGCCUUACACAUGCAAGUCGAACGGUAACGGGCCUUCGGGUGCCGACGAGUGGCGAACGGGUGAGUAAUACAUCGGAACGUGCCCGAUCGUGGGGGAUAACGAGGCGAAAGCUUUGCUAAUACCGCAUACGAUCUACGGAUGAUAGCAGGGGACCGCAAGGCCUUGCGCGGACGGAGCGGCCGAUGGCAGAUUAGGUAGUUGGUGGGAUAAAAGCUUACCAAGCCGACGAUCUGUAGCUGGUCUGAGAGGAUGAUCAGCCACACUGGGACUGAGACACGGCCCAGACUCCUACGGGAGGCGGCAGUGGGGAAUUUUGGACAAAGGGCGCAAGCCUGAUCCAGCCAUGCCGCGUGCAGGAUGAAGGCCUUCGGGUUGUAAACUGCUUUUGUACGGAACGAAAAGCCUUCUUUUAAUACAGGAGGGUCAUGACGGUACCGUAAGAAUAAGCACCGGCUAACUACGUG